UGCAACCACAUCAAGUUGGGACAACGUAUCCCAUACGAUCGUUGAAGUUAAGCAACAUCGAGCUUGGUCAGUACCUAGCUGAGUGACCGCUUGGGAAAUAUCAAGCGUUGCAA
Molecule: non-coding RNA, 113 nt
Organism: Acanthosepion pharaonis
Lineage: Eukaryota; Metazoa; Mollusca; Cephalopoda; Sepiida; Sepiidae
Source: the annotation of a GenBank genome assembly